This 469-nucleotide ribosomal RNA is filed under the name Geomitra coronula. RNAcentral's name for it is "partial large subunit ribosomal RNA". Lineage: Eukaryota; Metazoa; Mollusca; Gastropoda; Stylommatophora; Geomitridae. The record is from RNAcentral.
GAUUUUAAUAAGUUAGGCUGAUAUUAUACACGAAAAACAAUGAGCUAAUUAUAUUGGAAUGAUAGUUUUUAAAUUAUAUGUAGCAGAAUAUAAGGAAAAAAGUUAAUUAGGGGUGAUAGGCUUAUCAAAUUGUUAGAUAUCUUGAUCUGUAGGAAAAUUAUUUAGUAUUAAGAUAAUUAAGGAAUGGUUAGGUUUCUUAAAAGCACUAAAAAAAAUUAAUUUUACAACAGUUAAUUUAAUCAUUACUGUUUAUAAUUACUAAUAAUUUACUAUUACUCUGUUGUGAUGAAUUACUACAGCAGUUUCUAAAUUUAUUAUAUAGAUCUUUGUUAAUGAAAAUAUUAGUAUUUUAAGAUAUUUUGACAAGGAACUCGGCAAAAAUUUUUACUCAACUGUUUAACAAAAACAUAGCUAAUUGUAAUUAUAUUUAGUUUCUUCUGCUCAAUGGUUUAUCUAAAUAGCCGCAGUA